Molecule: ribosomal RNA, 1345 nt
Filed under: uncultured bacterium
Lineage: Bacteria
Description: partial 16S small subunit ribosomal RNA
Rfam family: Bacterial small subunit ribosomal RNA
Source: RNAcentral
GAUAAACGCUGGCGGCGCACAUAAGACAUGCAAGUCGAACGAACUUAAUUCGAAAGUUUACUUUUGAAAGCGGUUAGUGGCGGACUGGUGAGUAACGCGUAAGCAAUCUGCCUAUCAGAGGGGAAUAACAGUGAGAAAUCACUGCUAAUACCGCAUAAGCUGUGAGGAGCACAUGCUCUAAAUAGAAAAGGAGUAAUCCGCUGAUAGAUGAGCUUGCGUCUGAUUAGUUAGUUGGUGAGGUAACGGCCCACCAAGACGAUGAUCAGUAGCCGGACUGAGAGGUUGAACGGCCACAUUGGGACUGAGAUACGGCCCAGACUCCUACGGGAGGCAGCAGUCGGGAAUAUUGCGCAAUGGAGGAAACUCUGACGCAGUGACGCCGCGUGCAGGAAGAAGGUUUUCGGAUUGUAAACUGCUUUAGACAGGGACGAAAUAAAUGACGGUACCUGUAGAAUAAGCUCCGGCUAACUACGUGCCAGCAGCCGCGGUAAUACGUAGGGAGCAAGCGUUAUCCGGAUUUAUUGGGUGUAAAGGGUGCGUAGACGGAAAGACAAGUUAGUUGUGAAAUACCUCGGCUUAACUGAGGAACUGCAACUAAAACUAUCUAUCUUGAGUACAGUAGAGGUGGGCGGAAUUCGUGGUGUAGCGGUGAAAUGCUUAGAUAUCACGAAGAACUCCGAUUGCGAAGGCAGCUCACUGGACUGCAACUGACACUGAUGCUCGAAAGUGUGGGUAUCAAACAGGAUUAGAUACCCUGGUAGUCCACACAGUAAACGAUGAAUACUCGCUGUUUGCGAUAUACAGUAAGCGGCCAAGCGAAAGCAUUAAGUAUUCCACCUGGGGAGUACGCCGGCAACGGUGAAACUCAAAGGAAUUGACGGGGGCCCGCACAAGCGGAGGAACAUGUGGUUUAAUUCGAUGAUACGCGAGGAACCUUACCCGGGCUUAAAUUGCAGUGGAAUGAUGUGGAAACAUGUCAGUGAGCAAUCACCGCUGUGAAGGUGCUGCAUGGUUGUCGUCAGCUCGUGCCGUGAGGUGUCGGCUUAAGUGCCAUAACGAGCGCAACCCUUAUCUUUAGUUACUAACAGGUUAUGCUGAGGACUCUAGAGAGACUGCCGUCGUAAGAUGUGAGGAAGGUGGGGAUGACGUCAAAUCAGCACGGCCCUUACGUCCGGGGCUACACACGUGUUACAAUGGGGGGUACAGAAGGCAGCUAGCGGGUGACCGUAUGCUAAUCCCAAAAUCCUCUCUCAGUUCGGAUCGAAGUCUGCAACCCGACUUCGUGAAGCUGGAUUCGCUAGUAAUCGCGCAUCAGCCACGGCGCGGUGAAUACGUUCCCGGGCCG